This 32045-nucleotide long non-coding RNA is filed under the name Phoenix dactylifera (date palm). RNAcentral's name for it is "long non-coding RNA (PDAC_LNC004620)". Lineage: Eukaryota; Viridiplantae; Streptophyta; Magnoliopsida; Arecales; Arecaceae. The record is from RNAcentral.
GUGGGAUUUAAGGUUGGGGAUGAAGGAUAAAGCUUGCCAAUGGCAGUGGAUGGUGGCUGUUUGUGUAGUCCUGGCUGACAUAAAUUGCAGGGACACCUUGAAAUCUUGUAACUUUAUGCAAUGGCUGUUAUCCGAAGAAGUGUGCCUUAGGUCUACAAUGUUGGUCAGAAUUGAAACUUGAAACUCUAUCAUGCUCCAUUGUUAAAACUAGAUAGUUAACCAAUUUUGAAUUUCAGGAGAUAACCAAGUUUUUCAAGCCUGAUGGCCACAGAACAUGAUAAAGUCAUCUAAAGAACAUAAUCCAAGUAUAGCAAAUACUUUUAAGCUGUUGAUUUUCUACAGUUUGUUUGAAGAUGGGCACCACGAUAAGCAUGCUCCAGAUUAAUGGGAGCUUUGAAGAUCAAAGUUUAUGAUAAAUUGGAUCAAGUGACUAAAUUUAUAUUGCCAUGCAAAUAGAGUUCUUUAAUCUUACUCGAUUUCUUUAUAUACUUGCAUGAGUGGAGGGAGCACGUAUGACUGUACUGCUUUAAUCAAUUUAUAUUUUGGUCAGCAAAAUGCUUUUCAGAAGUCAAAAACAUUGAGCUCUAUCAAAAAAUCUGAACAUUACAUGACAUGGAUUUAAUACAACAGUAGCACACUCUAUUGGAAGUUUGAACAUAAAGCUCACUUCACAAAAUGAUGACUUGGAAAAGUGGGCAUGCUCAUUAGUUAUCUGAUGCAAAAAGUAGAAAACAUUUUCUAAUUAUCUCUUCAUGUAAAUCAUUUACCUAGUUAAAGGCCAUUCUCUGAGAGUAACUUUUUUAUAUUUUUCAAAUCAUUAAAGUAGGGUCUGUUUAGGAUUGUCGGACCAAAAAUGAUCAGAAAAUUUCCAUUUUGUACAAAAUUUUGGUAGAGAACCAAAAUUCCGAAGCAGUCUCUGGUUGUUCUUGUUUUGCCUUUGUUCAGUGACCAUGCUAAACAAGCUAUUAACUAGUGUUAUGUGUUCUCAUCCUUUGUUAUAAUUUUCUUUUCUGGAAAAAACAGCACCUUGGCCAUGGCCUCAAUUUGCAGCAACAAUAAUUUGUGUCUUACCUUCUUUGAGCACCUUCUUCAUUACAUCUUUCCCUGCCCCCAUGUUUCGACACUUCUUAGUUCUCAUGUUUUAUUGUUCUCCUUUCUCUGUUUCCUUCUGUUUGAGCUUCUGCCUUCUGUCCUUUUUCGUUUGUUCCUCCAUUUAACCAUUCUGUUUUUUCUGAAAAUCCUAUUNNNNNNNNNNNNGGGAAUGUUGUCAUGUCCAUGAUGUUUCUUUUGCAAGCAACUCUUCUGAUGAUGAUUCUUAGUUUAGUGUGGUAUCUUCCUUUCAGUCCUUAUUGCUGUGGGAGGCAAGUCUUCCCUUGCUCGUUGCUAAUACUAUCACCUUUUUCAUUUUAUUCUUUCCCUUCUAAGUUCUCAUUGCUUGCUUUAAGUCCACUGUUCUUUUCAGAAGCCAUAAGCAUAUUGGCUCAAUGAAAGCUUUUAAGCAUUCCUCAGUAGCAAGAGCCCAUGAACAUGGAACUUUUUGCUUAUUAUUUAAGAUAUGCCAAUCAAGGUAUCUCAUUGGUCGACAAAAUCAUGACUCCAAUUAUUAUCCUAAACUUUAGAAAGCUUAAUUUCUUAACAUGAGUUUGGCUAAGUUUUUGGUUUUCAGUGUGGUCAGUCCUCUUGACCUCUUCCUAGGUGACACUGUUUGGCUCUUAGUUGUUUUAGGAUUUUAGCUUAGCUAAGUAAUGGACGUUGUAGCGGCUUUUGUCAAAAAUAUUCUUGAGGUCUAAUAUGAAGCCGUGUUCAAGUAUGCUCAUCCGUCUCUGAUGUUUGUUGUCUUUGUUGUCCCAUGCACAGUUCCAGAUAGGUCCCUUCUGCAUGGUUUAAGAUGUCAAAAAGUGUUGGCAGUUGACCUGUAUGUUGUGAGUACAAACAUGUUUUCAUUUUCUUAUGGUUUCAACAUUUACCAAUUCUGAAAGGAUGACACGAUCAACACAUUAGUGACAUUAUGUUUGUUAAGGAACACUAGUUAAGUAGGCUACGUCCUUUCUUUUCCGCACAAAAGAAAGAAAAAAAGAAACACUAGUUAAUAUAGUUUGCGAUCAUGGACAUCAUCCCUUUUUACUAAUUUUGGUUCUUAAAGGAGGUAUGCCUUUGCUUUUUCAUCAUAGUGUACAACUAAGAUAAUAUCUUUAGUGCACCAAUAAAUAAAUGCACUUAUAGAUAAAUGCCCGUACAUCUUUCAGUUUAAUAUUGAGCAUUCUUCUAACUGCAUUCUAGAAUCAACCUGCCAACUUGUGAGUGUGCUGCGUAUAUUGCUUAUUUUACUCACAUAAUCCAUUUUCUUUGGGGUACCAACACAAAAGAUCUCUUUUUUUUCCGUCUUUCCGUUGUAGUUCUAACCCUUCUUUAGUACUGAGUGGAUUGGUGAUGUCAUGUAUUAGCAAGCCAAUAACAGUUGUCUUCUCUUUCUUGGAGAAGCCUUUAUUCUAGAAGGCCAAGCUUAGGAUGUUGUUUUGCAUUCAUAUUUCUACAUGAAAUACCAUGCAAAGGUUAACAUAUAUGCAGAUGUUUGGGUGUGGCACUUUUCUAUAUGGACAUAGGGGUUAUAGUUUCCAUGCCUAAAAAAAAAGGAUCACGGUUGUUAACCAUCCAUUCCAUUUAUCAAGUAGGUCAAGAUCUUCUGUUAAUCUUAUUCAUCACGAUUGUCUUGCUGGUUCGCUAACCUGACGUCAUAUCUGAUCCACCAUAGUGCUUGCCGAUUUCUUUAAGGUGUCCAACACCAUAUAUCAAGGACCCUACCACAUUUCAAGUUCUUUUCCUAAAUUCCUCGUUGGCAACCUACCUGAAUUCUAGAGAGGGAAGAGAUACAAAUGCGUCAAUAUGAUGCUGUAUUUCAAACAAUCUGUACUUCACUAUCCUUUUAUAUCUUGUAUCUAAUGAACUCAAGAUUAUAAUAAUCACACCAUCAUCAUAUCAUGUACUUUUAUCAGGCUAAUGCUGUCAUUAGUUGAUGCUUUGAUUAUGCCGCUUUUGAUUUAUGAAUAAUAAAAUGAUGAUAAACAUGGUAUGCACAUGGAACAUAAUGUCAGAUUACUACAUUAUUUGUUAAUCACUUGGUCUUAUAUUGCACAAAUUCUAACAAGAUAAUCCAGAUUUACUGCUAACAUGUGUAGGAACAAAGUAUGCUUUUAAUUGAAAUUUCUAAGGUGAAAGAAUGAGAUUUUAACCAUGUUAUUCAUAUUCUAGUAGAGCUAAUUAUUUGCAUGCCUGCAGUGUUCAUCACAUAGCAAUGAAUUGAGUGAUUCAGAAUUGGUUGGAUCCAGAAUAAAAGUUUGGUGGCCGUUGGAUAAGCAGUAAGCCUUUUCUGUUGGCAUGUUAACUUUUUAUGAGUUCUCAAUUUACAUUUGAUGCAAAACCUUGCUCUAUUGAAUACAAUCAAAUGGAAAGAUCACUAUAUAAAAGAGACCAAUGAUGAAACUGUUAUUGAUAGUUUGUGUGCAUGUUAAUUUCUUGUUCAAAAAGUUAAUGGAGUAGUUUGUCUGAUUUUAGUAUCUGCUGCUUCUAUUAUAGGUUCUAUGAAGGUGUUGUACAAUCUUAUGAUCCAGGAAAGAAAAAACAUGAGGUGAGAUGGUUCUCUGUCCUAUGCACGAUCCUGCAGAUAUCCGAGAUGCUAGUUUCUUAGUGCAUUUAUGGUGUUCACUGAUCUCAAAUUUUCAAACAUAAAAAAAGGAAAAGAACCAAAAUCUCUGCUUGCAUAUUAAGAUUUUUCUCAAAAGAACUACAUGACCCCACAAUUUCCAUGGCGUUGCAUUUAUGUUGCAUGCCCACAUAUAUGGCUGAGUUUUUGUCCUUGGUUUUUGUUCUGAGAAGCUUUAGAUAUAAAAUGUGGUUAUGGAAAGGGUUUGUUUAUAGGUUAUAUUAUUGUCUCCAAAUGAUUUACGAAAUAUCACAAUUUACCACAAACUUAUUGGUAUGUUUAGAUGAUCUAUGUUGAUGUUAACUAAGGUUCUAAAAACUGCAGUAUGGGCCCGUAACAGUCGUUGGCUGGUAUUUUACCCAUUCUGACAGUUUGGCUGGCAUGGUCAAUACCCUGUAUGAGUACAGGCUGGAAUUGGAAGGUGGUAUGUACUGUCUGGUACAGGUCAUGCCAGCAGUACUUGAAUCCUUGAUGUUAAGAUUGCAAGAGAGCCUUUUCCCUCAUCACCUUGUAGCAUCCAAAAGAAAUUCUGGGUUAAACCAAGUUCAGGAUCACUCUGUUUGUCCAAUUUUUAAGGCUGUAAUGGGUAUUUGCACUCAAAAUAAAAGGCUGUCAUGCGUGUUGGUAUAUACCUGAUAUAAUUGUAAGUUCUAGAAAACGAUUGUACCUUGCCAACUUUUCCAAGUCAAUUUCUCCCAUUUGGCAUUGGAGUUUUUGUCUAAUCCAUGCCUAUUCAUAUUUUAGUAUAUUUCUAUAUCAUUUACAAUUUUUCCAGCCUUUUCUUUCAAAAAUUUCUGCCAAAUUAGAACUUCUAUCCCAUAAAACUCAUGUUAUAGAUAUUGUAUGAUGAUGGAGAUGUGGAAGUGCUUCACUUAGCCAAGGAGAAGUGGGAACUUUUCCAAGUCAAUUUCUCCUAUUUGGCAUUGGAGUUUUUGUCUAAUCCAUGCCCAUUCAUAUUUUAGUAUAUUUCUAUAUCAUUUACAAUUUUUCCAGCUUUUUCUUUCAAAAAUUUCUGCUAAAUUAGAACUUUUAUCCCAUAAAACUCAUGUUAUAGAUAUUGUAUGAUGAUGGAGAUGUGGAACUGCUUCACUUAGCCAAGGAGAAGUGGGAACUUAUCAGUAAUGGAUGCGUGCCUAAAAAGGUUUAGACUUGUUACUCUUUUUUGUCGGCUUGACUUCUAACAAAAUUUUUUGAUGUGUUAUAAUAUGCUCCGUUUUUGACAGCGAUCAAAAUCCAAACAUACAUCGCCGCAUGAAGAACUGUGAGUAUUAUCCUUCAACUCUUUUUGCACCAUUUAUGUUUAAUUUCUGGGUAGGUAGAAAAUUUGUGAUUAUUUUGAUGCUGAUACUGUGAUUAUGGUCAUGGGUCAUGCCAAUGUUAAAAGACAGCUGUCAUUUUUCCCAUUUUUGACUGAUACAUGAAAUUUCAAUUAAUAGAGGAUGACAGAGAAGAGUAAUACCGAAAAUACUUUUUUAAUUCAAAAACUGAAAUCUCAACCAGAAAAAGAAAAAAAAAGGAGCCCACUCAGCCAGGACUGGAUAGCCUUUCAUACUUCCAGGUGACCAAUGUCAGACAACAGAAUUCCUAUGAUUUGAACUAUUUAAUCAUGUGUCCAGCAGCUAGGAGCAGGAUAUGAAGGGCUAAGGCAAGUGGUAGUCCCAAAAAUAGCCUCUGUCCUACCUUAUCUCCUCCCGCUUUAUCAUAAAAAGUCAUGCUAUCUGAGGAUAUAUUUCUUCUUGUAAGGAUGUUAAAUUGAUUGUUCAUGAACUGUCUAAGAUAGAAUCAUUUAGUGCUUGUUUUCAGCCACCGAUAUACCGUACUCCAAAUAACUGAAUCUGAUCAUGAACUGUCUAAGAUGGAAUGUUUUAGUGUUCGUUUUGAGCCACCGAUAACCAUACUCCAAAUAACUGAAUCUGGACUGAAAAUGGUCCUUUGCGUUUGAUCUGUAAUUGCUACUGCAGGUCACCAGAGAAGACAGAUGACAAAACCAACCAAGCUGAUUCUAAACAAAAAAAGAACAGCAUGAAGAAGUAAGUGAAGUCUUUAUUUUAUUUUAUUUUAUAUUAUAUUUUGUGUAAUGUUUUAUGUCAUCGCAAACUCUGGAAUUAUUGACAGAUCUUCAUCUUCUAAAAUCAAAAGAAAAAGUACUCCAAGAAAACGUAAAGUAAAUAACAGAAAAAGAGUAUCAGAAAGUAAUGUUAAUGCAGAUACGAACGACGUGGAUAGCAGGGGUGAUUCUGAUUUAUCAAGUGUCCCUCCACCCUCUGGCUCUGAUGUUGAUGAUGCCAACUCAGGUAUAUAUAUGUACACUCUUUUUAAGGGAAAAAAAAAAAUCUUCGAGUGAAAUAGGGCAUAUAUCACUACACAUUUCAUUGCUAGAUGAAACAGGAUUUCGGUCAGGGGUCUGUGCAGAGAAAGAGAGAGGGGAAGGGGGGGGGGGUGACCCCUCUUCGACAUGACAGUCAAAACAGCAGGAUGCACACACACAGGCAUGCAUGCAUGGUACAAUGUGUUAGACUGUUAAGGGAUGUAUAUAACCGCCUGUAUCCAUGUGUACAAUAUCAGUAAGUUCCCCAGGUGGUAGACCUUCCAACCUUUGCUUAUGUGGAAUCUGAUUGUCAGAAUUGGCCAACCAGUCAUCUGCCUGGAUGGCUUGCAUUGCUUGAUGAUGUGCAUGACACAAAAAGCCUGGAGCUGGUGAGACAUUAUCCGGAUAUCCACAGUCAGGGGUGUUUUAUUUUAGAGGCUGAUGUCCCUUGCUGGGUCCAGUGGACGACAGUGGCAGGGUGUCGUCCAACCACAAACUAGUUCACUGGAUUGUACAAAGUAGUUACAGUGCCUGGAUUGGUUCCAUACCAACACUACACUAAAUACAAAUAAAACAGAACUCCAACUGGGGCCCUUCCAGCUUCUCCUCAUAGCACCUAUAUAUCAGACUCAUAUUCCCUCCAUGCGGAGCUCUUCUCAACUUGUGAAGCCCGAUGGACAGACUGCUUUAAACACCAUCUGUAGGCACAUGUUCUCCUCUUUGACCUUGCAUAAGUCACCAGCCCAUUUAUAUUGAAAAUCAAGUUAAAUAUGCCAAUGUGUUGCAUGUAAUUUUCUGUUGUUUCGCUUUCUACCUCAACUUUCUUAUUUUCCUUUAGUAUACAAGCUUUGUCAUUACCUUUACUUUCUCCCAGAUAGGCUUGAAGGGAAAGAACAUCCAAUGUUAGAAGUUGGAAAGAAAACUGAAGUGGGCUUCGAAGAGGAUUCAGAAGAGUCAAUGGAAGAAGGCAAGCAAGAUUUUUCCAGCUUAGAUGGCAAAGGAGAUUCCGAUAAUGAACCUCUUGUAAAUUUUCUUAGCUUUUAAGCCCAUUUUCUGUAGUCUAGACCACGUUCCAUUCAAAAUCCGCAUACCAACUCAAUUUUUUUUCUUUUUUUUUCUUUCUAAAUCUUGCCAUUUUACCAUGUAAUUCAUGCAGAGUGCAUGGAAGCAAGGUGCUGGAAAAGCCACCUAAAACAUCUAUGCUCAUGGACCAGCUCACUCAGUACAAGAACUUGAUGGCAGAUCAGUUUGGGAUAUGGAUCUUGCUAAUUUGUUCUCUUCUUCCCACGCUUUCAGUCUUCAUGUAGGAAAUGUUAUUACCAUACCACAGGGUAGUAUAAGAUGGCCUUAGAAGAGGGAUAGUGAUUCUAUAUUGUGAAACUGAAGCUCUAGCUUUUGUGAUAAUUUAUCUGCAAUCUGUGCAUUUUCGCAGCAUUUUUUCCCCCUCCAGGUAGACGGAUUCUGUCAUUAUCUGCCUCUACUGUCUUUGGCAUAGCUAACCUCUGAUUGAACUCCGGCAAUUGAGCGGGCCAUGACUCUAUUCACAAGCCAUGAAUGUAAUAAUUGGCGCACACCUUUAGUGUUUGUCAUUGGGGGCACCUCAUUCUCUCUGAGGUUGCAUGUAAUAAUUGCAUACGAGUUGUUGUUCUGUAAUGAUGCUUCAGUUGGCACCCAAAUUUCCCGUAAGAUGGAAGUUGGAAUGUGUUGUAAAGCUGGUGAUGCUUCAGUUGGCACUUUGAUGGUGUACCGUGCCCAGAUAUCAAAUCUUCUUCAGCUUGCCGCGUUGAUAUUUUAUAGGUGUUUCCUUUUUGUGUUAGUGAAAAUAGCAACUGUGGACGUUCAUUACUUCCAUUAGGACUUGUAUACUGGGUAUGAGAUUUUAAAGCUAUGAGGCGAACUUUUCGUCUGUUGAAUUUAUUAUGAUCUGUUUGAUUGCUACCAGUUGGGCAUUUGUGAGAAUGGAUUUGUAUUGUGGUGUUCAAAAUUUGAAUGAAAAAUUUUUUUUCAGAAAUGAGGGGUGCGUUGCAUACUUUUCAUCAAAAUAUAUUCUAGCAUCCAUGCAUGUUUUUGAUAUUGAAUUACGGCUGCAUGUACGUUUAUCCAUAAACCAUUCUGCCAAGCAAAAAGGGCUGCUUGAUAAAUUUAGCUUUGGGGGUAUGUUGGACAAAAAUAUUGGAUAAAUCUAUACUUACGAUGUAUGAAGAAUUGUGUUCUGACCGACUCUCUACCGUGGGAUCACGGUUGCAAACGUGAAUAAUCCUUGCAUGAGCACUGUCUUCGUCCCUGUUUAGAAAAGUUUACGUGAGUCUUUAAGAAUCUCUUAAGUUGCAUAAGUUGGCGGUACUGUUGGCUGGAUUGGCUUGUAGGCUACAUAUUAGUGUAGCUCUCUCAGUCCUAAAUUUCCUCAUCAUAUUGGCUAAGGUAAAUCGGGUAAAAUAAAAUGAAUCGAGAUCUUGAUUUACCAAGAUCAUGGAUAUCAACAUUUAAAAACCUGGCUGACCAUGCGAUGCUAUGCUUUGUUGCAGGAAGUAAAAUCUUAAGAGCUUGGUCCAACUAGGGGUCCAGCCUUCUGUGUGAUAUUUUGAAAGAAGGCUUUACUGCACCAUUCUAUCUCCGAUGAAGUGUGGACGCGGGUCCUUGGAGCUGCACCUAAUAUGACUCAUGUAUUGCAUCAGUCCUGACUGCAGUACGAGGUCCAGUGCUUUGAGCAGGCGGAAGGAGAUUUAUUAGUGCUUUGAGCAGGCACUAGGACGUUGCGGAGAAAGCGUUUUGUGUACAUUGUGCUAGAGAAACCAUAGAUUUGUUCAUUUUGACCAAAGUUCUCUAAUUGUUCUCUGAAACACUCUUUCCAAAUAAAUAAGGUUGAGAAGGACAAAACUGUUUCUCAAUUAGCAUAAGAAUUUAUUCAAUUUAAUAAUAAAAUCAUCGAUAAAGUUUUUGGGUCCAUCGAGAUGGUUCUAAGUUAUUAUAAUAUAAACUUUUUUGAGAGAGGAAGACGAAGACUUCGUCUAUGCUCAAUGACGCAUAACCCGAGACUCACUUAGGGCUUUUGAUUAGUAAGCAGAGGGGUAUGACAAUCGGGGUAAGCGUCCAUUUAUAAAUAAUAUAAAAUUAUUUUCCAAGAGCUCGGAAAUGAUUGAAAGAUCAUAUAGCAUUUCAAGUUGACCAUUUAUUAUAUUGAGGUGAAUUAUAUAGAAGACUAAUUUGAUUUACUUUCUGGAAGAGCCUCACGAACCUGCUGAUAUAUAUAAAUCAGCAAGUCACUUGAAACAAGAAACAGGUAGCUCAAAGACAGCAGUCAAACACAUUUUCUUAUUGACAGAGAUGAUGGCAAAUGUUUAGUUUGCAAGUUGUGGCGAUGCCCUUCAUUUGCAGUUGUAAUUACGUAAGAAUCAGUAAUUCAUUGUACAGGAAUACCACUAUUUUCAGCUGCUUGUGGGAGGGUAAUUACCGCCUUCAAAAUGUCUUUAAGCACAAGGUAAUCAUCCCAAGAAUGCAAAUGAGGCUGAUAUCCACUAUAUUUUAAUUCCGUAAGCCCUUCACUUGCAACAUAGCAUGUGUCUCUAGACUGCAGCAAAGUGAGGAUAGAUAAUUUAAUAGUGAAUCAUUCUGCAUAGCCAAAGAAGAAAGUAGAAGAAGAAGAAAGAAGAAAGUAGACCUUGGUUUCUUCAACAUGAAUUUCGACGGUUGUGUCAUGGAUGAUGGAUGUUGUGGCAUCAGCUUCGUCAUCAGGGAUCAGUAGGCUGGACUAGUAGCUGCCGGGGGUCGGUGCAUCUUCGAUCAGUCCGUCAGGCACUAAGGUCAAAGCAGCCUGUGAGGAUAUCUCCUAUGCCAGAUAGGUGCUGGGGGCCGAUUGCAUCCUACUUGAGGGAGACUCCAUUACGGUGAUCGAGGGAAUUUUGAGUUCUAAGAGUGCUGUCGUGGGGAUGCGGCUGAUUCACGUCAUUCGCCGUCUCUUAGACGAAUGCGUAGCCUUCCGGGCUAACCAUGUAUUCAGAGAGUCCAAUAGCGCCGCAGAUUGGGUGGCAUCCUACGCGGCUCACCACUCUGGAGAUUUUAACUGGGUGGCACACAACUCUGAUUUGUCUCUCUUGCAUUUUAUUCUAGUAUCUGUCUCUUUGGGCUAUGCUCACACCCGGUGUGUAUGAGUUGCCGAUGUAAACAAAAAAAAAAAAAGAAGAAGAAGAAAGUAGAAAGAUAAGAUGGUAAAUUGAAAACGUAAGCUUAUAGCCUCCGUCCUAUCAUUUCCUGGUUAAAACAAACCUCUUCUUGAUAGCGCUAAAUAGUGAGACCCAAGAGAAACUAGCAAUUAAACAUGUUCAUAUAACUACUAUGACAGGUUUCCAUUAUUUAAUCUUCCGAGACUCAACUGCUUAUAGUUAGUUCACUUCUGCAGCAUACCAUUUGUCAAAGCAAGCACUGCAAACCCAUUCACCCAUUCAAUGUAUAUGUGUCUUUACAACAUCUUGUUGACUCGUAAUUAAUAUCGGAUCCGUUGGACUUGCUAUGUAUCAAUAAAAAUCAACUCUGAGAGGGGAAAAAAUAGGGAGGAGUCAAGUGUAAUUGGAUCAGGCUUGGGACUGACAAUAUUGAUAGCCGAAUAGAACUUUAUUUAAAUAUAUACUAACUUAUAUUAACCAUCCCCGCAAGGAUAUCAUGUAGGAUUCACUGUCUAGAGCAUAUCUAUAAAUUAUGAAUUUACCAACUCCUUAGAACUCUUAAUUGUAGAAAUCCAUGCAAUCAAAUUGUAUUGAUCGUUUUCUACUAUUUAUGCAAUCUGGUCCCAUAUAUUAUACCCUGGCUAGGUGGUUGGUUUUCUCUGAAGGAUCAAGGUUGUAUCCUCUAUGCAAAAGAAGGAUUAACUUCCUUUGCAUGAAUCCACAAUUGUUCAUCAACUAGUUGCUUUGAGAUCUAUAUAGCAGAACUUUAGUUCUUCAGUUGAUGAUGAAUUUGUAGCUUAGUAAUUUUCUAAAUUUUGAGAAUUAUGAGUUUGGUAUUUAUGUUUGAAUUUAGAAGCUCCGAACGAAUAAUGGUUGUAUUUAAUGGAUAAUGAAAUUUGUUUCCUAUUUAUUCUAUUUUAUUUGAGAUGAAUUUGAAAGCUAUAAUAAAAUGUUUGGCUUCGUAUUAUCGUAGAUUGUAUCCCUUGAUAGCACGGCUAUAUCAUGCUCCGGAUCUGAGGUAUGACAGAUAGAUUUCUACUAUUUAUGCAAUCUGGUCCUAUAUGUUAUACCCUAGCUAGGUGGUUGGUUUUCUAUGAAGGAUCGGAGUUGUGUUCGCUAUGCAAAAGAAGGAUUCAUUUUUAUUCACAUUAAUCCACAAUUGGAUAAUCCACUAGUUGCUUUAAAAUUUAUAUAGAUGGAUGGGUUAUUGAGUUCUGAGUACUUUGAGAUCCAUAUGAUGGGUGAUCCAAUGAUAGAUUUGCAUGAAAGAGAUAAAUCAUUCUUUUGCAUAAAAGAUCCACCCCCGAUCCUGCUAUGAAAUGAGGAUCGCUUCAUAGCAGGAUCGCUUUGUGGGAAUUUCCCACAAUGUAAGCCAUAGAGAUCUGUUGCUUUUACCAUCAAUACACGUCGUCUCGCGGUUAGAAAAUAGAGCAAUUAAUCAACCAUUCAACCGAAUGAGCAUGGGUCCCAAGUAAGCAGGAAAUACUGAUUCUCUCCUUAUAAUGUUUAAGUUGAGGGUGAUCUUCCCUCAUAACCAGAGCUCCAAACUAUCACGGUCUCCCACUCAUCCUUUGGGGAACUGUUUCUAGUUUCGUUUCAGUUGUCAAAACAAGUAAGAACUCAGUGAAUGUCACAUCCGACACACCUGCAAAAGCAUCCGUUACCUCUAAAAUUUAAAUUUUAAUUAAGUUACUCAUCAUUGCUUUGUUAUGUAUGAAUAAGUUCAAUUCUUUAAAAGAAAGAGCUAUGACAUAAUAAAUAAGUGGAAAAACAGGACGACUAAUUGUCUAAAACGUUGUAUGCUAGAUGUUUAAUAGUUUGAUAGUAAUGGCAAUAUCCCUUGGCUUGUUUAGUAUUGCACGAGGCAUUUAACCCUCCAAUUUGCUGAUGGCAAUGCUAUCCGUUGCGAGUAUUCUUGAAGAAUAUCUACAUAUUGGUUUUUUGUCGUGCAAGUAAGCUAUCAAAGCUCAAAGUGAUUGGGGCCUUUUCUCAUGGUCAUAUCUCCCUAUUUAGCAACCCCCGUGUCUGUGUGUGAAAAACAAAAAAAAAAUCAAAGACUAGAGAAAAAUACUCGGCAUCUAAAAGGUUAAAACUAGUUCCCUAAAGACCAUCCACUUCUGGAGGGAUCGUUGACGAGUUUUGAAUUUCAUGAGAGAUGGAUCAGUUGGGUCAUGGGGUGUGUCAGAUCUCCCACCUUUGCCAUUCUGGUGAAUGGCACGCCCUCGUGUUUCUUCGCUUCUUCUAUCGGACUCUGGCAAGGGUGCCCUCUGUCCCCACUUCUAUUCAUUAUUUGUGCAGAUGCCUUGUCUAGAGCCUUCUGUUGUGCUAUUGAGACCCAGGCUUUGGAGGCUUGUAGACCGGGGCUGGGGUCCUUUUAGGUAUCAUAUUUUUUAUUUGCUGAUGACUGCUUGAUCCUUGCUCAGGCCACAAGACAAGCGACAAUGGUUAUCCGGAGGUUCUUAGAGGAGUACUGUGUUGUUUCAGGUCAACGGGUCAACCUGGCCAAGUCAGCUAUCUUCUUCAGUCCGAAGAUCAAGCCACAGGUGAAGACAUCCAUCAAGCAGAUCCUAGGAGUGGGUGAACAGGAGGGUGCCCUAAAGUACUUAAGGGUUCCCAUCAUUGGGCGGCGUCUUCGUCUUGGGGACUGCUCUAAUAUAAUGUGCAGCAUCAAACAGAGGUUAGAGGGCUGCUAGAUGGAUGCACUUUCUAUGAUGGGCAGAAUGGUCUUAGUGCGGUCGGUCCUUAGCACGACGCCGAUAUACUUGUUAUCGAACACCAUUGUGCCGAUAGUGUCGCUGAGGUCUAUGGAGCAGCUGUUCAGGAAUUUCAUAUGGGGCAGGAAGGGAGAUCGCAGUGUCAUUCAUUUGGUGGCAUGGGAGACGAUUUGCCAGCCAGUCAAGAUAGGUGGUCUAGGGGUACAUUCACUGAUCAUGAGGCGGGAGGUUAUGGCGGCACGACAUGCCGCUAGGUACAUCUUGGAGCCGGAUAGUUGUGGGGUGCCCUCAUGAAGAGUAAGUAUGGCACACAUUCGGCGGUGGCCGACUUUCGAGUGGGACGUCAUAGCUUCAUCUGGAAGGAGAUAUGCGCAUACGCACCGAUGGUGCUCCCAGAGAUCAGGUGGAUGAUUGGUGAUGGAUGAUCUAUUGAUGUGCUAGAGGAUGCUUGGGUGACUGAGCAGCCAUUGGGGAGGAUACCAACGAUGAUGGAUUUAGUAAGGUUGUCGGGGUGCAGGGUCAGCGAGCUAAUUAGUGCUGGUAGAUGGAGUAAGGUGUUGGUCCGGGAUGUGUUUGGGGAGCAGCUUGCCGAGAGGGUUCUGAAGCUCCCGAUCCCUGGUGGGGAGGCAGUAGACAGGUUGGUUUGGACUCCGAUAGAGAGGACGAGGGUGUGUAUUAGGGAUCUGCAGGCAUUGAUGGGGAAGGAGUCGACUCGGCGGAUAGAGGGUGGGUGGAUCUAGAGGUUGGGCGUUCACCCUCGAGUGACCUUAUUCUUAUGGAAUGUGGCCUGGGGAUGUAUCUCGACUCGGAUUGUAUUGGCUAGGCGGAGUGUCAAGACUACCCCCAUGUGUGAGGAUUGCCAUGAUGAGAAGGAGACCAUCACUCAUGCUCUUCUUUACUGUGCUCGGGCUAUAUAGGUAUGGAGGAGUGCAGUAGUAUCCUUGCUGCGGGAUUGGGGUUUGGCGGAAGACUUGUUAUAUCAUUUGAGGAUAUCCAUGAGAAGAUCGGAGUUGGUGGAGUGGGGCAUUACUUGUGCCUACCUGGCUUAUCACAUAUAGUUAGACAGGAAUGUCGAUAUCUUUGAGGGGAGGAGGACACCCCCAUGAGCUGUGGUGGACAGAGCCUUCCGAUAUGCGGCCGAAUUCAUAUACUCUAUUAGGGAGUCUUCAUUUGGAGGGACUAGGAACACUUGGGGUUCCCACAUCGCUGUCAUGGUGCCCAUAGUCACUUUUGUCACUUGGGAACCCGCAAUGCUGGGUCAUCUUAAGGUAAACUUCGAUGGUAGUGUGCUAGCCGGAGGAGAUAAAGGAGGGACGGAAUUUGUGAUCCGAGAUCACAAUUCUAAAUUGAUUGCUGCACAUCGGUGGCACGAUAGUCAUAGGAGUAGAGCUCAGGGCAACAUGGGACUUGGGAGGGCAUUACUUAUGCGAGGAGCAUCCUAGGGGCUGGCAAAAUCACCCUGGAAGGAGAUUCCGCUAUAGUGAUCGAUUGGAUUCAACAUGCUGAGCGACAUGUAAAUGACCAUCCUCUUCUUAGCGAUAUACGACGGAUGGUGAGAGAUUGUAACUCCUUUUAGAUUGCUCAUGUGUACCGGAAGGCAAAUAGAGCAGCUGAUGGGGUUGCUUCCUUUGCUGCCCAUCACUCCGGAGAGGUCUCAUGAACAUGGUCUGAGAUUGUACCCCAAUCUUUAUGCCAUGUAUUGUAUUUUGACUCAGUUGGUUGCACUCAUGCCAGAUUAACAUGAGCGACUGUUUUAACCAAAAAAAAGGAAAAAAAAGAUGACCAUCCGCAUAAGAACCAGUUUCGGAGUUUAACUGCAUUCAAAACGACUCAUUACUUGAUCAACCAAUCCCAAUCUACAGUACCCAUUGGAAAUCUCAUAAGUAGCAAAUUCAAACUAAAAACAAAAUCAAGAAAUCAAAACUCAAGACUAGACUAUCCAAAUCAUUAACAGAAAUAUCUAAAUAUAAAAACCCUAGCAAGCAAAUAAACAGCUAAGAUCUCUAAAGAAACAACACGACAACUAAGGCAACCCAAAGGGCUGUCAUGAUCAUAGAAGAUUUAGCAGUGGUCUUAAAUGGCGCAUUAGAACCUUGGGAUCCAUAUGUUGCCGGCCGGAUCCUGAGCUCAGGCCCAAGCUUGAGCCCAGGCCACCACUCGGCUGGGGGGCUUUGCGCAAGCCCUGGACCCAGCUAACUUCUACGAUCAUCCUCUACUCGGACUCACAGUGACCAGGAUCCUCAUUGAUGAAGUAGAAGAAUCCAUAGUAGUUGAAUUGGAACGUGGCAUUGCCAUCGUUAAAUUUGGAACUGGAUUCGAAAUGUUGCACUGGUUGUAGGCCCUGUUUUGGGGAGCUGUUGGUAGUAGAGCUUUUGGAAGUAGAGCUGUUGGAAGUAGAGCUGUCUGAAGUAGAGCGUUUAUAAAAAGUUGUUUGCUGUUUGAUAACUACAUUUCUAAAGUAGAUAUAUAUAUAUAUAGAGAGGGGGAUGGGUGAGAGAGGAAGAGGCGGGAUGAGAGUUUUGGGAGAAAAAAAGUGGGAUUUAAAUGGGGGUAUUUUGGUAAAAAAAAGCUUUCCGACAAAACUAAAAACAGCAUUUUCGGAAAGCUCCAAAAUGGAGCAUCUCCCAAAAAGCUAUUUUCAGCUUUCUGGAAAAGCUGAAACAGCUUUCCAAAAUUUUUAACAAACAUCCUUUUUAUCCAAAAGUAUUUUUGAAGGCUAGAAAGUGCUUUUUGCCUCUUCAAGAGCUCUCCCAAACAGGGUCGUAGUCUUUGCGGUCCAUUACGAGCAUCGAGUUAUUCAAUCUAGGAUGUUAAAAAGAUAUCAUGAAUACAUGUAUACACUGGCUAAAUAUUUAGUUAAACUGAUAACUCAUUAUUAUUGUUGCUCAAAACACGAAAAAUAAAAAUAAAAUAUUAUGCAAGUUCUGAAAUGAAUUAACUCUUUCCAAUGUCAUUUAAUUGUGGUCCCUAGUAGUUGUACACACUUAUUCCUCACUAUGUACACAAAUACAGAUAACUGUGUAUAUGCAGGGACAAUAUAUUGUGUUCAAGAAUUAGUAUAAUCAUGUGCAAUAUAAAUGUAAACAUGUGUAAAUCUUGUAUAAGCUUGUGCAGCAUUAAAAGUUAAAUAUUAAUAGUCGAACGGCCAAAUGUUAGAGUCCGUCAAAAAAACUUAAGGACCCAAUAUUAUCGUCUCAUUAUUAUGUUUAUAUAUCUAAAUGUUUUAAACUAGGUACUGAUAAUGCAACCAUAAUUCAUUACUGAAGUGUGCUACUAUCAUAAAAUCUAGCAUUUUUUUUGUUUUUUUAUUAAGCGAACCACAAGGAAUCUCGUUGAGAGGAAGAAGUUGAAGCAAACAUACAUACAUACAUAUAUUGAGAGGAACGAGGUGGAAAGAAGUUUAUCAAUUCAUGUCAAUAUUGCUAACAAAAUAAGAUGGCAUCAUCCACAAGAUACAAAUAUGUAUCUGUCUAACUCAUGGAAUAAUAAAAUUUUUAUGUUGCAAAAUCUCGGGUAAACUUUGAUUUAUCAUGCCGUGUAUUUUUUUCGAAGUCCAACUUCUCCCUGUUCCCAUGACAAUUGUAAAAUAAUGUUCUUAUGUUAUUAUUAAUUAUCUUUUAUUAUGGUAGCUGUUAGUAGUCAUCGUAAGUAGUCAUUAUAAGUCUUUAUCUUAAUCCUAGAUAAACUCAGUCUCGUUAGAUCAGAACUGGACCAAUAAUGGCUAUUGUAUAAACAUAAUGAUCAUGGACCGGGUUUGUUGUUGAGAUCUUGACGAUAGCAUGUAUCCACCUCAAUCUUGUUUCAUAUAACUUGACGAGGUCACGAGUCCCAUGAUGCAAUGGCAACGUCUGACCACCUCCCUGGGACUGCCGGUCAUCAUCACUAACCUCCAAUUUUAGCCCACAAUUUAUGGUCUCUUUCCUUUCUCUCUGCCUUCUAAUUAAGCCUCCUCCGGCGAGAAGGCCGUUCUAGGAGCGAAUUUAAAGGCUGCCAACCUAUAAACGCAACCAAUUCCGGAUGAAAUCUCUCGCUCUCCCCCCCCCCCCCCACCUGUGACCAUAACUGAGUCAGUUGCACUCUUUUAGGAAACUGGCCAGCACCACUACUCGCCGGUUUUGAACGGGUGUUUUCAUAGUAGAAUUGGCUCUAGUCUCUCGUCGAAAUGUCUAUAUAACCAGGUCUCUGUAUAUCGUCAUUUCAAUUGCAAACCAGUUCUAGCCUCUCAUCAAAGUGUUUAUAUAAGAAGGCCUUUCUCUUCGGGUCGUGCGCUAGCUUGUUGUGUAUUUAACUAUUUCUAUGGUUUUUUCCUCUUCCUCUUUUCUUUCUUUUUUGCUUGCUUAGCAUAUUAUGAUGUUGCUUUUUAGGCUUUUAUUCUGUCCAUCAUAAUUUGGUUUUAUGUAGUUUUAGAAAAUUCUUUUGUUGGGCAUGGAUUUUGCUUGCAUCUAUAAGUUUAGAUGAUAUGAAGGUGAAACUUUGAGGAAAGGGUUGUCACUUCUUCAAAACAACCGGUUUUCGUUUCAUCUCAUUAUCCUAGACUAUAUAAGAAAUCUAUACUUCAUUAGGUUAGUCUGUGUGAAGAAGAAAGCACGUUCUCGCUAUAAGAAUUUGAUUGUGCACUUCAAAACGAUUUUCUUUUUAUUGAUCUUUUGAUUCCAUCUAUUUUUGUAAUCUAUAUGAGCACCGAGAAAAGGAUGUUUUCAAUAUAAACAAACGAUUGCAUAUCUUUUUUUUUCCAGCAAAAUGAUUGCAUAUUUCCACAAAACUAGUUUUUCGGGAAUUUUUCUUUAUUUCAUUUUUGCUGUUUUGGAAAUGAAAAGAUUAUGCUAUACAUGAUGGUAUCGCUUCAAUUUUUUUCCCUUUUUUUUCUUGGUUUUUGGUUUUAGUCUUAACCUCAAGAAGUUAAUUAACAAUGGCAAGGGAGUUUCUUCCAGCAUUCACAAGGUAAACACAUGUUUCCACUAGUAGAUUAAUUCUAUUCAUUUCUAUUAGCACGCAUGAAUGUACGCAUACAUACCAAGCAUAUAUUGUUCUCUUUUCUCUGUCAUAAAUAGCUUUCAUGAAUAGAAAACUUAAUGUAAAGAAAAAUAAAUAUGCGCAAAUAUUUUAUGAAAAUCUUAUUCAGAAAUAUACAUGCAUUCAUGCAUCCAUUAACUUUGUCUUUUUUUUCUCCAUCAAAAAAGACUUUUGACUUUUUGUAGGAUGGGGCUUAUGAUCUUCAUACAUUGACCCGAUGGCUGAUCAGCGAAUGUACAUCUGAUAUCUUGAUGUCAACAUUUAAUUUAAUAGAUGUUAUAUAUUUCCACGUGUACGAAUGCAUGUCAUUUCUUGAUCCUGAAAUCUGAAGUUGAUGGCGAUUUUUUCUAAUACAGGGUGCGAAGGGUGGGAUCCCAAGAUGGAAGAGAUGACAGAAGAGAGAGAGCACAACCCAACACUAGCGAAAGAAACAGGUUCGCUCUUGGUGUGGAUGUGCUCUCUCCUCUUUCUGUCAUCACCAUCUCUAGGGUUUUGCCUGUGCUCUUUUGAAGCCCUAGUUUCUUGUCGCGCAUAUCACUUUCUGGUGGGUCAACUCUUCCAUUGACCAGCAAUAUCUAGCAGGCAAGGUGAGCCUCUCAUAAGAUCCGGCCGUAUUUUAUUUAAGAUCCAGAGUUAAAAUCGAUGUUACAAAUUAGGUUUGCAUUAGGGUGGAUCCAAAUGCACCUGCUUGGCUGCUGUUGAUGAUCUGCUCAAAUGGAAAGUCCAUAUCCUACCCGUGUAGUUGGACUAGUCCNNNNNNNNNNNNNNNNNNNNNNNNNNNNNNNNNNNNNNNNNNNNNNNNNNNNNNNNNNNNNNNNNNNNNNNNNNNNNNNNNNNNNNNNNNNNNNNNNNNNNNNNNNNNNNNNNNNNNNNNNNNNNNNNNNNNNNNNNNNNNNNNNNNNNNNNNNNNNNNNNNNNNNNNNNNNNNNNNNNNNNNNNNNNNNNNUACUUUCGGCUGAAGCUAGCCGAAUGCAAAUGUGUAUGGUAGAAAUGGUCAAAGUGGGGGAAUACAUCUUUCUAUGAGAGGAGAGAGCCACUAUACGUCUAUAGUGGAUACAUGGAGUUGGUGCUGCAGGUUUAACAAUAGAAAUUAAAAUUGGUUGGAUUGGGUGUAAAGAUUAAAAUUGGUUGGAUCGGAUCUAUUUUUUCAAGUACAUGUGAGUUAUAAAUAUGAUAUAAAAUAUUAAAAAUAAUAUAUUAUAGUGUAAUAGUAUUAUUGUAUCACCAAUAUUGUAGUAAUACUAUUGUAUUAUACUAUAUUAUAAUAAUUUGUUAUAUUAUAUGAUAUUAUAAUAUUAUAAUAAUUAUAUCAAAAUAAUAUAGUAACUAAUAAUUUUAUAUUAUUAUAUUUUACUAAUAUUAUUUAAAAUAUUAGUAUAUCGAUAUCACAUAUAUACUAUUUAUUAUAUUAUUUAGAUUAAAAUAUUAUAAUAAAUAAUUUAUAAAUUAAAUAUUAUUUAUUUAUACUUUAUAAAUAAAUAAUAUUAUAACCCUCUUAUCUCGGCUUAGGCCUCUCUACCUCUACCACCUCUGUCCUUAGGGCCAUGCUCUCUUUUUUCUCCAUCUGCAUAGUACUUUAGUCUAAAUCUAAUGUAAUUUGUAAAAUGUAAUUGCUGCAUAUAUUUUACUGAUAUGGGCACAAAUACAUUUCCAGAAGGUUCAGUUCUUUGAAUUGCAGAUCUGAAGAAAUGGAGGAAAGAAGAAGAAGAAGAAGAAGAAGUUGCUAAGAUUUCUGCAUAUAAAUGGCAUGGUUGCAGUACUGUUUCUUUUAUAUGUGAUGAGAAGCUGGCGCAGUUCCUGAAUUGCUGGAAGCUUAGCAACACAGAGAAAUACGGAGCAGCAGAUAUUUAUGGCAAACAGAGUUUUCCAAUGAGAUUUUUUUUUUGAAAUAGUUUUAUCCUGUUAGUGGUAGAGGGGAAAAUAAUUUUUGACUUCAAAUUGAGCUUAAUAUGGACAUCAUAGAAUCUUUAAACGACUGAAUCAGGGAGGUAACAGGGUAUCUAUCCAGGACUUAAUUUGGGUCGGACUUCCCAAUCAGAUUAUUCUAAUUUGAAGCAUAGAAUUAUUUGUCCUGUUCAACGAGAUCAUCUUGAUAUAGUUUGUACAACUUUAUGGCUGAUAUGUGGAUUAAGCCUUCAAGAUUGCAAUACUGUGUAAAAUGAAACAUGCAACAUAUACCAUUCUAUAAUAUUUUGAAGUGUUACUGAGGUUCGAUCUUCCAACCUCAGAAUAAAAACAGGGGUGACAUAACCACCCAUUGCAAUCACAAAAAAAAGAACAAGAAACGCACAUAUACCAUUCUAUAUACCCAUGCAUAUUAUCAUAAAUUCCGUCAACGUUGCUAUAAAAAAUGCAAAUAGAAAUCUAAACUCAAAUCCUAAAGGCUGUAAAUGAUGUGCCCCAAGACAGAAUUUUUUAACAUUCUUAAGAAGGGACUAACUUAUACCAUUACUCUCAAAGCACUUUAGUGAUUUAUACCAUGGCUAGCAGAGACACCAACAUCGCAGAACCAAGGGAGAGAAAUGUGACAGAGAGGGGUAAGCUGCCUUUAUCCUUUCGUAUGAAAAGAGCUUCAUAAAUGGGCAAAUGGAUGGCCACCACCAGCCCGCAGAGAAGAAUUUGAAUGAAUAAUGGCUCAAGACCCAUAAUUCCGCCAUCUUCCACCAGCCUUUGGAGUCCUCCCGCCAAGCAGAAAAGAUUCAGCAUUGCAACUGCUCCUAUGAUAACAAACAUUGAGGAUGAUGAUCCGAAUUCCAUAACCUCCUGCUCGUACCUUUUAGAGGCAUCGCCAUCAGACACCUUUGCUGUGAUUGCGAAGCCCAUCUUAGAAAUCCGCAGCAACUUUAAGAUGGUAGAAGUGAAGCCAUAGAGGAAUGAGGUGGUCCUCCUCAAUAUCCACAUCCUUUGUAAGUUCCACCAUCCAGCCAAUGUGUCACCACAUUGCAGUGAUUCGACGAGCCCAUACGCAUGCUUCCCAAUGGUGACAUAGGCAAAGGGCACGAACCAUGGGCUCGUGAUCUAAUUUUGACAUCAGGAUAUUUAUUUGUGUUAGGAUUCGUUCAAACAUGCAUGCUUGAUGGAAGGGAAAAAGAUAGGCAUAUCCGUACCUUUGGGAAUAAGGAGAUGCCUUUGAGGAGGCAAAGGGAAGGAAUCACAAGGUAAUAGAGUGUAGGGAGUGAGUUUGGAGCCCACAAGCCAUAAAUGCAAUAACCCAUCUGAAGUCCUAGCUUGAUUUUGCCAUGAGCAAGUAUGAAGGGACAGUACUUGGNNNNNNNNNNNNNNNNNNNNGUACCUUUGGGAAUAAGGAGAUGCCUUUGAGGAGGCAAAGGGAAGGAAUCACAAGGUAAUAGAGUGUAGGGAGUGAGUUUGGAGCCCACAAGCCAUAAAUGCAAUAACCCAUCUGAAGUCCUAGCUUGAUUUUGCCAUGAGCAAGUAUGAAGGGACAGUACUUGGAAAGAAAGAUUUGAAAAUUUCCCUCGCUCCAUCUUUUGUAUUGCACCAGCGAUUGUUCUAGUGUUGUGGGAGCAACACCUAGAAAGGCUUUUCUUGGAGGAUUGAUAAAGGCGGACUUCCACCCCCUACAUUGAAUUAAUAGGCCUGUGAUGACAUCCUCCACAGCACACUCAUACUUCAGCCCAAUCUGCAUUAAAUGAAAGAUAAAUAUAUAGACAGAUAGAUAAAUAAAUAGGUAGAUAUAUAGAGAGAGACCUCCUGUCCCCAUUGGGUGUCGUGCUCAUAGGUGCUGGUAAUAAGAGACUUUGCUCUCUCUUCCAGUGUGCAAGCACUUCUAGCCGUUUUCCUCUCAAUGCCUCUCUUCCAGUCUUCCUUGUAAUCCUUGCUAUACUUCCUCCCGCAAAGAGCCUCUCUUCUGUGGAAGCAUCCAGUGCCAAUAUAGAGAGUCCCUCCCCAACUAUCCAAGCCAGGGUGGUCCACCUUAAAAGACAUUCAAAAUGGUUUUAUUAUUAGGUCCUUGUAAGACAUUCAAAAUGGUUUUAUUAUUAGGUCCUUGUAAGACAUUCAAAAUGGUUUUAUUAUUAGGUCCUUGUAAGACAUUCAAAAUGGUUUUAUUAUUAGGUCCUUGUGCGAUUUAAUAUCAAAAUUCACACUAACUACUUGAUUGGUAUUAUACUCCAAACUGGAUAUUGCCGCGAUCUCUGUUGACUCCAAGGAUGUGUUUGUGGAACUUUGUACAAGACUAGAGAAACAUAACUGAAACCUCGAUUGUGGUGAGCCUUUGCUAGUACUAACCUGAGUGAUCACAUUAAGGGAAUUGCCAUAGAGAUCAUUCUUGGUGAUAUUAUGAAAGACCUGGGGAUAUUGUACAAAGCCAAUGUCCUGACCCUUCUCUUCAUCCAGGAAGAAGCACAAUGCUUGUCUGAUGGACUCCGAGUUGUUUGAGUACAUGUCGCAAUCCAGGUUGAGGAUGAUUGGGCUGUUGCUUAUCUCUGAUGACGCCCUUAUCUGUACAUCAGGUUGCAUUGUUUAAAGAUAUUUUUUUCAUAAAUUUCAUUUCAAAAUCAUAAUAACCUUGCAUUGUUAUUCAGACCAGGUGCAUAUUCAAGAUCCAUUUACAGCCGAUUCUAGAUUGAUCGUGUUAUUCUUCUAAAAAAUAAUUGAUUGUGUUAUUAAAACUCCUAUUGAAGCCAGUUGUCUAGAAAGUAUGCCAAUUCCAUAUUGUGGACUACCCAAAGAGAGGAUAUUAAUCGAACAUCUGAUUCUGCUACCUGCUUUCAUUUAACCCUGCAUCUGUAGACUAAGCCCAGGACUACUUACAGGGCUCAACUAACUACAACAGGUCUAAAAGCUCAUGCAAAUGAGGAAAAAAAAAGGAAAGAAAGGAAAAAGAAAGCAAGCCUAUCUCCCAAAAAUUGUGAGAAAAAUCUAACAUAGUUAUAUUACCAAUGCGUUCAUAGCCCCUGCUUUGAAGUUAUGAUGAUGCUGAGGUCUCUUCUCUCGUGCCAUAUACACCAAAGUUGGUAAUGCAUUUCCAUCACUGUCUAUUGAACCUUGGUCUCUCCCAUCAAUUAUGAUCUGCAAAAAGCAACAAAGAAAAGCAACAUAAUUAGCUCUAGUGAGACAGCUCUAAUCGCCCCACAUUUGAAGGAUGGGCACAACCUCUAAACUAUAGCUUAGUUCAGUUCGUCCAUAAUUUAUGCUGUACAGAUCCAAAACACCUUUUAUGAUUUCACCAAUUACAUUUCCUACUCUACCAGUAUAUUAGAUUCCUUUCUAAGACACGAACCAAUAGGCUCUUCCUACAGUCCAGCAUAGAGUUUAAACAACUAGUUUAAUUUUCAUAAGAAAACUUUAUAACUUGAAUUCAUGUCCCAAUUAUCCCAUUCUAAAAUAAUUCAAAAUUCUAUGCAAUAAGGGUUUUCUCCCAAUAAGGUCUUGUUUUGUUCUUCCAGUACCAAGUGUAGUAGUACCUGAACGAUGGGUGGAUGAUUCCGUGAAGUCAUCUCCGAGCUCCAUUCAGAAAAUCCUUUAUUUGCUUUGAGUUCUUCAGGGAUCUUGCCUAGCAUUACCACCGAAUCGAUGCGAUCUGCCAUCUCUUCAUAUAGAUUCUGAGAAAUGGGAAAAUAUGAUGACAAAUUAAAUAGAAACAAGUUGUUGGCUUGUUUUAUGCCAAUUUACUACAAGCACUCCUUUCACUGAACAAAGCUUUUUUCAAACACCGAAUUAGAAAUUAAGGUUGACCAUGUGCCGGCUAAUGGGUCAAUAUUUAUAAAAAUUGAGCCAUGCCACUUGGUCAUACUAUUACCUUCAUGAAAGACCAUUCGGUAGGGAUGCAUGCAUCGCGGGGGUCGCAUAAUUUGGAAAAAUAGGCAGCUGGCGACCGUGGCUCCACAUUAUAUUUCUUGCAAAAUGGAAGCCAAUACUUUGCAAAGUGAGAUGCUUCCCAAAGGGCGUAGAAGGUCAGAACAGACCCAGCAUCAUCAGAGAGAUAGACAUUUAGUUUCUCGGGAGGGUAAUUGUAAGCCAUGGUUGAGAGGACAGUGGAGAUGACUAGGAUGGGUGGCUCUGCAAUAGGGUCAGCAGUGCACACGAAUAUGUCCACGUUUGGUAACUCAGUUUCAUCUCUGUUUCCAAAGACAAAAAUAAGAAAAUUAUACAUCAAUACAACUUGUGAUGCAUAUGAAUGCACAUUUUACAUCCGUCAUGAUUUUUUUUUUUGAAUGCAUGGAUCCUGGAGUAGAAUAGAAAUGAUAUAACAUAGAAUAUUUUUUUCUACAAAAUUAAGAAUGCGACAAAGCUUGGCCAAAACCAAGUAAGGGCUAGAUCCAAAUGCAGAUCAUUAGUAUCAAUAUAUGAUAAUUUGCCUAGCUAAGUUAGCUAGCACCCUUAUGAUAUAGCAUGAAAUUGUAUUCCCCUUGUAAGACCUUAUUUUUGUCCUUCUCUCUAGGAUUUUUUUUUUCUGAAUGGAGGGAUGAAAUAUUUUUGGUCCUAUCCAAGUAAAGUUUUGGGAUAAACAUUUUUCGCCCAGGACCAUUCUUUUUUAAAUUUUGUAGUAGUGUGUUUUCAAAUUUUGAAGCCUAAAAUAUGGUGCUCCAACAUUUGUUAAGAGUAAUAUGCUUAUAGAUUCAAACAUAGCUAAAAAUUUGGGUUUCAAACUUAUUUGAAACGUUUUGCAUGGUAAGAUAGGAUUUGAACUGGUUGGCAUCCUCUUCUUAUUGGGCAGGUAAAAUCAUUGAUUUUUGUCACCAAUGUUCUUGGUAUAAUUGUACUUUUAUUGUAACAUGUGGCAGACUUUUUUUUCCCCUACUUUUAAAAGAAUAAAAAUUUAUGCAAGCUAGACUAAAAGUAUGAGCAAAAAUAAAACAAGAAUGGGUUAAAACUUAUUAAUUUUGUCCGCAAAUUGAUUUUGAUGGGACUUGUUAUGAGAUAUUUUUAUUAAAAAAAUUAUAUUAUAGACAAAAAUAAAAUAAAAAGAAAAAUAAAUUUAGGUUAAUAUAAUAGUAUUAGGUCUGUCUGUUGUACAGUAAAUUUUAUUUUGAUUCGAAUAUUACUUGAAUUAUUUAAUAAAAAUAAUGUUGAAAAUUUAGUAAUAUUUUUAUAUAAAAUUAUUUUCAACUAAAUAUAAAAAUAUUUUUUAAUAUUGAUUUUCAGAAUAAAUUUUACAUCAGUAAAAUAUUAUAUACUUCAUUUUUUUCUCUAAUUAUUUUUAAAGAUAAAUAAUUUUUAAAAAAUAAAAUAAAUUUGAUUUACUUCGGCCGACCAAAUUGUACAAAUCUGAUGGCCGUCACGUUAUUGGAGAGGUACAGCUGUCCAUUGUACCACGGAAUCCGACAAAUUUAUGGUCUUGUUUAGCAACCGUCGUCUUCACGAGAGACUGAUAUGAUAGCUAUCAAGAAAUUUACAGGGCAACAGACUGACGCAUGGCAGAGAAUUCGAGACGCUUAAACCAACUUGACGUCGACCAGGUCGCCGCCUAUCCCAGCCUGAACCCAUCCCCCAACUCUCUCGGCCGCUACCCACUCGGCAUUCUGCUGGCCCACCCGUCCGUCCAUCAAUGAUUCUUAUUUCACAGAAACUAUAAUUCAUAACAUCAGGUCUCAUGAAACUUUGGAAACUGAAGCAGUAUCCCCUAGAAACUCAAUCCAUGGCGGCAUAGCUUUGAAAGCUCCAUUUUUUUUCUUUUUGCUUAUCAAAGAAAAAAAAGAAAAGAAGGGACGGCUUAAAUGUUGGUAAACGAUUCCCUCCAAGAUAAAUUCUUUACCAGCAAAGAUUACUUUAGCGAGAACGCUAAAUUAUAUGUGGGUAAAAGACUAGUUAAGUGUAGACCGAGCAUGAUAUGUGGGCAUGUUCUUUCUUUUUUUCUUAAAAAAAUAAACGGAAGAAGCUAAGAAAUAUGCGGGCAUGUCAAUUAUGAAUGAGAAUUUUACCGCUGAGAGAGCUUCUCGGUGUGAGUGAAACGAUAGAUGGGGUUCCAGCGCACCGACUGAGUGAUGAUCCAGUAGAAGCCGAACCAAAGCUCGGCUGCAAAUAUCCCCAUCCAUGCCCAUCUCCCUUCUUCUCCCCAUCUCGGGACAUGAGUCGCUCUAUAGAACCAAAUCGAACAAAUGCCCGCCAGCAUCGAGCAUGCAAACAACUUGUAAGCAAACCUACCUUUGGCUUGCUUUGUUUCAAAGAGAGCUUCAUAACUCUCUGCCAUCUCUCUCUCUUCCUCUCUCUCUCUUUGUGUCUCUCGCGUUUGUAGCCGUGAGAUAAGUUGGUUAUAUAUAGAGCGUGGUAGGAGACAAAAUUUAAUAUGGCCACAGGUCAGAUUAAUAAAUACUUAUUCGACAUGGAUAGUAAGUAAAUAAUUUCCUUCACGAGAGUGUGGAUAACAAUUCUGUGGUGAGGCCUUCUCAAAAUCUUCAAUGAUGAGCUCAAUCUAUGGCCCAUACAGGGGCGGCCCAAUACAUUUGGGGGCCUAAGGCGAAUCCAAUGAAUANNNNNNNNNNNNNNNNNNNNCUAUGGUAGCAGAAAAUGUGACCAAAGAAUGGAUUUUAUGAAAAAUUCAUUCAUAAGGGUUUGGUUAUGAUGGUUUAGUAAUAUAGUGAUCGUGGAAGGUUAUACGCCAAUCAAAUAGGUGUUAUUUCCGCCAUGGUUCGUAUUAUUAUUCUCAAAGUAGUCAAACAUAAAGUUUGCCCGACUUGAUAUCAGAAUAAAAGGAAUAUGCGUAUAAAGAUUAUAAAAUUCAAGUGCUAAGGAUAUUUUACUUGUCAAUAUGGUCCAAGUGGGAGAAUGUUGGGAUCCCGUCAAGUUGUGGCCCACAUUGACAAAUGGCGUCAAUAUGGUCCAAGUGGGAGAAUGUUGGAUCCUAUUUAAUUAAACCCUGAUCCCGUUUAAUUAGAACCCACAUCUUGACAAGUGUCCCUUGAAUUUCGUAAAUCUUGAUAAUCACAAGGGCAUUAAGGUAUUUUCACAGCAGUGAAGGGUUACCUUGAUGGGGGGUGACUCUUCACGGGUGUAACCACCUGCAGCGUUUGGUCCCUGGAGAGGGCUAUAAAUAGCCUGUUAGACCCCUUCUCUAAAGCACUCAUUAAGAGCUCUCUCUCCAGAAGAUCUCUCGCUAAUCUUUGUUCAGAUCAUCGGUGGUCGAGGCUGCGCACGCAUUCCAAAGUUUAAUCCGGAUGGAUAUAGCGACACAAGGUAUGAUUUAUGAAUUAUUAAAGUUAAUCAUUCCAUCAACAGCUCCAUAAAGUUAAUGGCAUCAAAGAUGCCUACCGAAGAGCUAACUUGAGCUUGACAUUCACUUAAGGUUCGGUAAAUGGAAAUAAUAUUCCCCUUAUGUACAACAUAGAAUGCAUUAACAUCCUCCAUUGACAGCCAAGGAUCUACUUCUGGCUGAAACAAACCAGUUAUGCAUAAAGCAAAGAAUAGCUAAACAUAAGCUUAUCAACAGAAAUUUUAAUUUAUAUCCACCAAAUACCAACAUGCAAAUGCCUCGACUAUGCUGUAGACAGAGCCAAACAAAGAACCUCCAAGAUGAUUCAUCUUUUGUGAAAAACAUUGUCGACCAAACUUAUCUCAGUUGGUAGCAUCCCACUCGUCAAGGCAGACAUCCCAAGUUUGACUCAGGAUGAUACUCCCACUGUAUUUCUCAAGAAAAUAUUUUUUUGUGAGAAUAUCAAUGAAGCAUUUGUGCAUCAAAUGCAGUUCAUCAAAGAGUUUCGAUUUGUUAUCUUGUUAAGACGAGGGAAAUUGAGAUUAAAAUCAUACGAAAGUGUAAUUUGAUCUAAUCAAGGGGUGAUAAUUUGCAGCUAUUUUGAAUCUGCUGAAAAGGUAUCCAUGAAAAUGGAAUCUCAAAGGUAGUAUUUUGUUCGAUAAAAAAUGGCAUACUUUCUAGUAAAACAUAUUGAACUCCCUCCACUCAUUCAUCAGCAUCCCAGAGAAACAAGUUAUGACCUACUGGUCAAUUAUAAAUACAGUAUGACAGUACAAGAUCAGUAUACUAUAAAUCAAAGCAUUUACUGAAAACUGACAAAAUAUUUACUAAAACAUGAUUUCUGGAAACAUAAAGUUAGAGUGGUAUCAGUAUAAGUAUCCACUUUUUAAUUCCUAUCAACUACAAUUUAUAAAAACUUUCUGUUAUGGCCACAGCAGACACAAGAAACUCGGAUAAUAAUUAUAAAAACAACGCCUAUUUUCUUAUGCAGAUGUCAUGGUCAAAAACACUAGCUAUACCCCCGAUUUCCAAUAAUGCAUUUGAACGAUUGUCACUGAUUUGAUUGGACUUCGUAUCCAAGGCCCCAUACAUGGUCUUACGACUUUUCGGAGACCUAGGGGAAGGGCGGGAAGAGCAAUUAAAGUCAUUUUUCUAAAUUCAUCUGUUUCUAAGUAUACCCAUUCCUAGGGCCCUCGGAGGGUGGUCGGAUCACUAGACAAGAGAGGAACGAACUGAACCAAUACUCGAAGAGAGAAAACGAGAGUGAAGGUCCUUUUUCUCGUUGACUGGCCCUUGUUGCAAGUUUAGAAGCAGAUUUCAAUUCUAUUCCUUUUUCUUCCUUUUCAGCCAGUCUUUCUUACUUUAAGGAUUUCUGGGGAAGGCCGCCUAACUAACUUGAAUCAUUAAUCAUAUAUUUUAUUUACGAUACCAAGAAAUUAGGAAAGCCGUCCCUCUUCCAUUCGGAGCAAGCAUCGUAAUCGUACCGCUAUAAAACUUUUCAUAGGAGGAAAGGUCUCCUCUACUGUCCAUUCGCCUUCCUUGGUGAGUCCGGUUUUCUGUGCUACGUUAUUCUUAGAUCCAGCGAAAUCAUUGGUUUCAGAGUCCACUGUCUUUGUUGUCUCAAUGAACACAAACCCGAUUGUAAACUUUAAUGUUUAGAAACCAUCCCAUCCCCUGAUAUCCCGAAAGUUCCCGAGAGAAUAAGACCGCAUUGAGAAAACAAAAGAGCAGAUAAAGGAGCAAAGUCCUCUCUUUCAACUCUAGCCAUUCUUGGCUUGGUCACAUGCAACCAUCAAGAAAGAAUGGAUUGAAUUGGACCUAAAAAAGCCAUUCAGGUUCUUUUGCAGACCUCGAAAUCUCAUCGCGAACAAUUUGACGCUGCUAUCUAUUUGAUAUUGAUAGAAGAAUAUCCUAUAAAAGAUGGGAAGGGGAGGGGGUUCGGGUGAGAGGCAUCAGACGCUAGCUCAGAUGAUAAGACGUAGCAGCUGUUAGCUUUUAGCUUCUUCAAUGUCUUCCCUCUCAUAGAUGAGGAGACGCGGACGUUAAGACAUGUAACAAGAGUUAGAUAACAAGAUACCCGAUACUACAUUCUGAGGGCUAACUUCUAAAGCAAUCACGGUAAGUUCACUUCGGGAAUCAAUACAAUAAGAUCUAAUUUUUUUGGAAUUUGAAAUAAUGUGAUGGGCGAACGACGGAAAUUCGCUGCUUUUCCCAGGCCGGAGAAGGGCAACACAUUAAUAGGUUGGUUAAUUGCCCACAAUAUCUCAAAGUCGCUUGAUGGCCGAAGCACUCCCAAGGCGGCGUUGGAAAUCAAGACCAGCUCAGAGAAUCACUGGAGAGAGCUCAGAAAGCGAAAACACAAAGGCUCCGGCUGAGAUCGCCGGAUAGGUGGGAGAGCCGUGCUUCUCCACGCCCAACGAGAUGCGCACUAAAAUAUGUCUAUGGUUAACUAAUUGCCUAGCUCCAGGAAUGGUCGAAGCCAUACCCAAUCGAAAAAGGAUGUUAUAUUCCAUUCUUUGGUCUGUAAAAUCCCUACUCUUCUUCUUUUUCUUAGCCAUCAAUGAUUAGCCUGUCCCCAGCCCAAGUUAAGUAUAAACAGUCCGAUUUUGAUCUGAAUUGUCUGCGGAAAGAAAUUGUGGGCCCCAGGAAUGGGUAUACUUAGAAAUAGAAGUCAAUCCUGAUUUCCGGUUAGUAGGAUGGAGCUAUACGCAAGCCAAUGCCAAGUGCUUUGACUUUUUAAAAAAAAGAGGUUUCAAUCUCAGGCCUUAUUUCUUUGGGGAUGAGAGGAGUGCUCUCUGAACUCACUCGAUAAUCGGGCGUUAGAGCGAUCCCUGCCGCUACCGAUUUCGGGUCUAUUAGUUGCUUCUUCCCUAGUCUCCAUAGCUAAAUGGCGAUACCCCCUGCAGUUACCUCUAAAAGGAAUGAUCUCGGGCAUCAAUCUAAAGAGAGUUUGCCACCAUUCUCUUUCUUUCCUCAAUCGUUCCGACCUUGAGUCAAAACAAUCUCUAUACUCUUCCAGCAAUUCUCAAGUCGUAGCCCGUCACCGUCUAUCGAGCAGGGUGGGGAAGAGGAAUCGACGAAGAAUCCAGUCAUCAGUCUGCAGGGAAUAGGGUAGGUUAUAUAUAAAGUGAGAUUGAAGCAAGAAGAUCUCCGAUGAAGAAGCUCCGGGAGGAGAGGGAUGUCAAGGGAUUGCUGAGACCUCAGGUAGCAGAACAUUUAUGUGGCACGGCCGGUGUACCUCCAAAGAUGGGUUAUUCAGGGGUUGAAAGUUUAGAUUUACCUAUUUUUUUCAAUUAAAUAGCUCAAAAAUAGGUGGAGUUCGCGUGGAUAGAGGACGUCGUGCACGGACGAAAGAUCAUUGAUAGCAGAAGAGUACGCUAGCUAGCUAGCGUAGCCUGAAAACACUUGCUAGGCUACGACGUUCGCCUACUUUGAUAGGCAACGCAUUGCAAGCAAAUAUCCUUUACGGGUCCUUUUCUUUCUUUUCCUUGGGUGUAGUGUCACACCCGUCUCCUAUAAGACUCUCAAGGGGUGAUGAGCCAUCCGCAAUAUGGUAGCAGUAAGCGCGCGUACUCCUUCUGCGAGACUCCAUCCAAAUCCGCAUACUUCUUCAGUCGAAUGCUCCUCUGGGCAAAAGGAAGAAUCAUUAAUCCUUAAUGUAACUAGAUAAGGUAACAAAUGUUAUUCACACGCGGAAGACAGUGAGCUAGGUUAGUUAGCGAGCUCCUAACUAACCUAGCGAACGGAACAGGAACUCUUUUCGUUUAGGGCGAAUGCGGCCUAAUUUAUAAGGCGAGAGCUAAAACCCAUGCAGUCUGAAAUCUGUAUCCGAAGGGGACAGACUUGUCGGCAACCAACUUCACUCCAGUUGGUUCGGAUAGGCUGCGACCUUACAUGAAUUGAAUAGAUGCAUUUCACGGAAUUCUGAAAUUCCGCUUCGACACCCUCUCGAAGAAGUGGUUCUCAAACCGGAACCAGAACUCUUGGAUCAGCCCGACAUUGACGGGGGGUAAAGGAUGCUAGGCUUUUAGCUCUGUUAGAUCGUUAGCUCAUUCGCUCGCUGAAAUUCUGGAAAACCGGAUUUCAGAGUAUAGGAAUAUUCCCCCUGAGGGGGACGUGUUCUUCAUGUAGCCUUCAGACCGAAUGAGUUCAGAAGUAGCUGCUCUCCUAGCUGCACAAGCACACCAUGGGCACCCAUUCUCAACCACCUGUUCAGGCUGCUGAAGGAAACUAACCAAACCAAGCGAGGAGUAAUCGAAUGUUGUUCGACUUUCUAGAGCGUUUAGCUGCAGUGGUUGCUGUUGAAACUGACAUUCGAACGGUUGACUCAGUAAAGUUGACCGUCUUCCACGCGUAGCUGUGCCCGGCCGAGGGGACUUUUUCCCCAAUGAAAUGACCCAAGCCACCACACAAUGCAAGGCUAGUGGUAUCAGUUGAGUGAAUCGGUCGAAUCUUGCCCACCAAGCGAGCCCUUUAAUUCAAUUCUUCAUUCUUUAAUUAAGAAUUAAUCAAAUCUCCGAGGUACCUGCGAAUGCUUAUGGAUGGAAACUGGCCAUCCGCCGAGAGUUUCGGGUUUAAUACCGAUAUUUUAGCAACAAAUCAUUUCGACAGAGAAAGUACGAUCUGCUUAGAUUUCCAACAAGUCUCUCUUUUUUUGGGGGUAGCAGACAAAGAAUAAAAAAAAAAUGCUUUCGUCCAUCUGGCCUAGUCGAAGAUUUCGAAAUACGACUUUUUUAACCGUAUAGUUCCAGCGCCAAAGCCGUCGAAAGGUAACUGAUGCAAAGAAGGAAAGGUAACUGAUGCAAAGAAGGAGCUGUUCAAGUGAGCUUAUUAGUGGCACGCUUUCGAAUCGGUGAGCAGUUCAGUAAGCAAAGUAGUUCGGGUGAGGAGGGUUUGGCGAAGAUUUGUUCCACUUUUGGAAGACCUUGUGUUAUGUCACCAGAUCUCGAUUUUUCAUAUACAAAUGUAACUAAUGUAUCUCCUUCGUAAAGGAUUUCUC